RNAcentral lists this ribosomal RNA (495 nucleotides) under uncultured bacterium. RNAcentral describes it as "partial 16S ribosomal RNA". It matches the Rfam family "Bacterial small subunit ribosomal RNA", at positions 28 to 507 of the family's 1533-position model. The record is from RNAcentral.
GACGAACGCUGGCGGCGUGCCUAAUACAUGCAAGUAGAACGCUGAAGGGGGAGCUUGCUUCUCUGGAUGAGUUGCGAACGGGUGAGUAACGCGUAGGUAACCUGCCUGGUAGCGGGGGAUAACUAUUGGAAACGAUAGCUAAUACCGCAUAAGAGUAGAUGUCGCAUGACAUUUGCUUAAAAGGUGCAAUUGCAUCACUACCAGAUGGACCUGCGUUGUAUUAGCUAGUUGGUGAGGUAACGGCUCACCAAGGCAACGAUACAUAGCCGACCUGAGAGGGUGAUCGGCCACACUGGGACUGAGACACGGCCCAGACUCCUACGGGAGGCAGCAGUAGGGAAUCUUCGGCAAUGGACGGAAGUCUGACCGAGCAACGCCGCGUGAGUGAAGAAGGUUUUCGGAUCGUAAAGCUCUGUUGUAAGAGAAGAACGAGUGUGAGAGUGGAAAGUUCACACUGUGACGGUAUCUUACCAGAAAGGGACGGCUAACUACGUG